RNAcentral lists this ribosomal RNA (526 nucleotides) under uncultured eukaryote. RNAcentral's name for it is "SSU rRNA". It matches the Rfam family "Eukaryotic small subunit ribosomal RNA", at positions 80 to 637 of the family's 1831-position model. The record is from RNAcentral.
AGCGAAACUGCGAAUGGCUCAUUAAAUCAGUUAUAGUUUAUUUGAUGGAUAAAGAAAUGGAUAACCGUAGUAAUUCUAGAGCUAAUACAUGCUUGAAAGCCUGACUUACGAAGGGCCGCAUUUAUUAGAUAAAGCCAGCAUUUAGGUGAUUCAUAAUAACUUAGCGAAUCGUGGACAUUGUCUGCGAUAUAUCAUUCAAGUAUCUGCCCUAUCAGCUUUGAUGGUAGUGUAUUGGACUACCAUGGCUUUAACGGGUAACGGAGAAUUAGGGUUCGGUUCCGGAGAAAGAGCCUGAGAAACGGCUAUUACAUCUAAGGACGGCAGCAGGGGCGUAAAUUACCCAAUCUUAACUUAAGGAGGUAGUGACAAGAAAUAUCGACAUUGGAGAAAUCCAAGAUCGGAAUGGACUAAAUUUAAAGCUCUUAGUGAGUAACAAUUGGAGGGCAAGUCUGGUGCCAGCAGCCGCGGUAAUUCCAGCUCCAAUAGCAUAUAUUAAAGUUGUUGCAGUUAAAAAGCUCGUAGUUGG